CGCGUAGGCGGUUUUGUAAGUCGAAUGUGAAAGCCCCGGGCUUAACCUGGGAAUUGCGUUCGAUACUGCGAAACUAGAGUACAGUAGAGGGAAGUGGAAUUCCGGGUGUAGCGGUGAAAUGCGUAGAUAUCCGGAGGAACACCAGUGGCGAAGGCGACUUCCUGGGCCAGUACUGACGCUGAGGUGCGAAAGCGUGGGGAGCAAACA
RNAcentral lists this ribosomal RNA (207 nucleotides) under uncultured bacterium. RNAcentral's name for it is "partial 16S ribosomal RNA". It matches the Rfam family "Bacterial small subunit ribosomal RNA", at positions 568 to 774 of the family's 1533-position model. The record is from RNAcentral.